CAUCGGGCGGAUGCAUAAUUGACACGCACGCACACGCAUGCACCAUUUCCCAUGUGCGCAGUUCACUGCAGUCAGGUGUCUUUUUAAUGCAGCUGCUUCUUCUUACUCCCCCUUCUGAUUAGACACAAACACACACACACACACAUCGACACACAUCCUCCUACGAGGUCCUAAUGGUCAGAAGUGAUUGAGGCAUGCAAGCUUUUUCAAUGUCGCAGCAAACAUAUUUCAACCCCCAAAGACCCUGAGACACACACACACACACACACACGCGUAAGCCAUAUGCCGUCAUGGUGCCUUUGCUACAGAAACGCUUGAACACGUCGUGAGAAACCUUUUGAAUAUGGCUUUGCUGACUCAGCAGUCCUCUGCAUGGUGAGAAAUGGGAAGACGCGGACGGAGAGAGAGAGAGAGAGAGAGAGAGAGAGAGAGAGAGACGGAGACUUGCUAACAGAUGAAAUACUGCAGUGAAGCAGCCUCAUGUGACUCCUCCCUCCCUCCCUCCCUGAUUUGGAUCCCUCCCCCUCCUUCUUUCCUCUUGCAUCCUCGACCCCCCCUGCCCCCCCUCGCCUCAUUGCCUGCCGCACCUCCUACGUCCUCUGUCCCAUAACUACCGUGAAAAUGAGAUUUGGUUUCUCCCCCUCUACACUCUCUGCCCCCCUCCAAGCCCAUCAUUCUCUCGUUCUCAUACGCACUUGUUUUUCCCUCCAUUGUUGCCUACUCCAACAAGGUCAUUGCAGAAAAAAAAAAGAGAGACGUUGCCACGGUUGCUAGGCAGCAGGGUUAUUAUAGAAGAGUGAAUCACCGCUGCGCUGACUGUUGCUUAUUUAAUACAGACAAUCAGAGGACCAACCUUAGAAGACCAUCUUCGUACGUAUCUGGCACCUGAUUUUGGACAAAGUAAGUAUGUCAUGAGAAACUGUACCUGUAACGGUGAAAAAAAAACAUCUAUUACAAUAAAGGAACCGUGCCACAACUUUUGGGGUUUUUAUUGUCGGCUUUAAUCACAGUUUUAUGUUGAAGUUGUACAUUGUUGUGACAUAUUUCCACCCUUUUUUGCUCUUUACUGACGCUUUUGACUAAUUAUGAAGUGAUCAAUCCCACAGUGUUGAAAUACACAAUACACCAGAGUUUAAUGCAGGCCUGUCAACAUUAACGUGUGAAUCUAUGCAAUGAAUGUGUCAAUUUUUGCGAUAAAAUAUUUUAAAGCAGUUAACGCAACUUGCAAUUAAUAAAUGAAUGAAAAUGUGUGAUUAAUUGCACGUUUUUUUAAAGUGAAUUCUUUUUAAUCUAUUGACAGCCCUGGUUUAGUGAUUGUAAAGUUGUAUGCAGACGAAUGAUGGGAUUGAUCCCUCAGAUGUUGGGCUUCUUAUUUCUUUCUGCACCCUGAGGACCUCAGAGAGGGGCUGAGUGAGAAGAAGGAAGAGCAACUCGGAAAUUUCAGACAGCGGGAGCAGUUUAGCAGUUUCUCAAUUUUGCUGCUUUAUUUAGCUCACAAGUACUCACAAGUAAAAUGAAUUGUUAACCAGAUUCAUCGUCUAAAUAAGACACAAGAUUCUCAUUAUUUUGUAUAUGUGUAAAAACACACACACUCACAAUCACACACACAUUAAACAGUUUUAAAAACACAUUUGUAAAUGUACUUAUCUUUGUAUCCAGAGGAGGGUGCUGUGACUCCAUCAUUCACAGAUGAACGCCUUGGAAUAAAACGUUCAUGUUUAAACAUUACUGAUGAGACUUCUCUCUGAACCAAUGUACAGAGCAAGUUAUAAAGCAUUAUUAUAAGCUCCCAACAAAAGGGAAAAAAAGGUCCUACAUUUGGUCUGUGGAAGUUGUCCUAAUGAGAUGAAAUCUUUUCAAUUUUAAGUCCACUCUCAUCC
Molecule: long non-coding RNA, 1880 nt
Organism: Pungitius pungitius (ninespine stickleback)
Lineage: Eukaryota; Metazoa; Chordata; Actinopteri; Perciformes; Gasterosteidae
Exons: 3
Source: RefSeq, a predicted model, not a curated record